GACGAACGCUGGCGGCGUGCCUAAUACAUGCAAGUUGAGCGCUGAAGGUUGGUACUUGUACCAACUGGAUGAGCAGCGAACGGGUGAGUAACGCGUGGGGAAUCUGCCUUUGAGCGGGGGACAACAUUUGGAAACGAAUGCUAAUACCGCAUAAAAACUUUAAACACAAGUUUUAAGUUUGAAAGAUGCAAUUGCAUCACUCAAAGAUGAUCCCGCGUUGUAUUAGCUAGUUGGUGAGGUAAAGGCUCACCAAGGCGAUGAUACAUAGCCGACCUGAGAGGGUGAUCGGCCACAUUGGGACUGAGACACGGCCCAAACUCCUACGGGAGGCAGCAGUAGGGAAGCUUCGGCAAUGGACGAAAGUCUGACCGAGCAACGCCGCGGGAGUGAAGAAGGUUUUCGGAUCGUAAAACUCUGUUGGUAGAGAAGAACGUUGGUGAGAGUGGAAAGCUCAUCAAGUGACGGUAACUACCCAGAAAGGGACGGCUAACUACGUG
This 497-nucleotide ribosomal RNA is filed under the name uncultured bacterium. Its description in RNAcentral is "partial 16S ribosomal RNA". It matches the Rfam family "Bacterial small subunit ribosomal RNA", at positions 28 to 507 of the family's 1533-position model. The record is from RNAcentral.